Molecule: long non-coding RNA, 949 nt
Organism: Acanthochromis polyacanthus (spiny chromis)
Lineage: Eukaryota; Metazoa; Chordata; Actinopteri; Pomacentridae
Exons: 3
Source: RefSeq, a predicted model, not a curated record
GUAAAAAUUUUAAUGCCACAACCAUGAACUCAACAAAUUACAUGGGUUUGUUUUUUUGUAAAAGAUAUUUUUUAUAUUAAAACUGUCCUUACAUUUGACUAUUUCUGAAUCCAGUAACCACCCCUGACCACCCACGGGCUUCAGUCAUUCUCUGAAAUCCACGUUUUCUAGCUCUCCUCCACCUGAUCCAGCCUGCCGGCCACUUUAAAAACAUGCAGUUUUUGGCAAUUGUACCCUACCGGCUGGUACAAUUAUCACAAUGCUUCGGCAUGUUUACGCAAAUGCACAUAUCUGACAAAAUGCAGUCUAUAAUUAUAUAUUAUUAUUUACAAUUUGUUUUUUGAAAACUGCAGAAAGAACUUUUAAUGCUAUUGAGAAUCAAAUUGAAUGAUUUUAAUGCCAUUUAAGGCCUUAAUUUUCCCCAAAUCAAUUUAAUGACUAUUAAUGUUUUUUUUAAUGCCCUGCAGAAACCCUGUAAGACUCAGUCCAGCCUAAAAUCCAAAAAUCCUUAUGAUGGCGACAGACAGAGGAGGCGUGGCCUCCGCUCAUUUGUUUACAUCACGCAACAACAAACGACCACAAGCCUUCUGGAUGAUGGGCUGUCCACUGUGUCCAAUCGUACCUAAUGUCAGCUGGGAUAGGCUCCGCCCCUCAAAUGACCCUCUGCAGGAUAAAAUUAAAUAUGGCUUUGUCGAAAAAAGAAAGAGUUGAACUGGUACUUCUCAGUGGAUGUGAAGGAUGGGCAUGUGGAAAGACAGCAGAUGGAUUUAAUGCACCUUGUCAAAGGAGGAUUCCACUUGGCUUUUCCACGGUGGUGAAGGUGGUUAAAAAGUUUAAAGAAACAGGCAGUGUCAUGGACGAACCCCGUUCUGGAUGACUUAAUGUAUCAGCCCAAACGAAAGAAUUGAUGAUGGCUAAAAUUCAUGCUAAAAAUAAAAAGUUAAUGAGA